Molecule: ribosomal RNA, 253 nt
Filed under: uncultured bacterium
Lineage: Bacteria
Description: partial 16S ribosomal RNA
Rfam family: Bacterial small subunit ribosomal RNA
Source: RNAcentral
UACGAAGGGGGCUAGCGUUGCUCGGAAUUACUGGGCGUAAAGGGAGCGUAGGCGGAUAGUUCAGUCAGAGGUGAAAGCCCAGGGCUCAACCUUGGAACUGCCUUUGAUACUGGCUAUCUUGAGUUUGGGAGAGGUGUGUGGAACUCCGAGUGUAGAGGUGAAAUUCGUAGAUAUUCGGAAGAACACCAGUGGCGAAGGCGGCUCACUGGCCCGGUACUGACGCUGAGGUGCGAAAGCGUGGGGAGCAAACAGG